Unclassified non-coding RNA from Callithrix jacchus (white-tufted-ear marmoset), 300 nucleotides. It matches the Rfam family "Metazoan signal recognition particle RNA". Rfam says of the family: The signal recognition particle (SRP) is a universally conserved ribonucleoprotein. It is involved in the co-translational targeting of proteins to membranes. Lineage: Eukaryota; Metazoa; Chordata; Mammalia; Primates; Cebidae. The record is from Ensembl.
GCUGGGCAGGGUGGCAUGUGCCUGUAGUCCCAGCUCCUCAGGAGGCUGGGGCUAGAGGAUCACUUGAGUCCACGAGUUCUGGGCUGUAGUGCGCUAUGCUGAUAAGGUGUUGGUUCUAAGUUCAGCAUCAAUAUGGUGACCUCCCAGGAGCAGAGGACCACCAGGUUGCCUAAGGAGGGGUGAACCAGCCCAGGUCGGAAAUGGAGCAGGUCAGAACUCUUGUGCUGAUCAGUAGUGGGAUGACGCCUGUGAAUAGCCACUGCAGUCCAGCCUGGGCAACAUAACAAGACCCUGUCUCUA